CCUACGGGCGGCAGCAGUGGGGAAUAUUGGGCAAUGGGUGCAAGCCUGACCCAGCAACGCCGCGUGAAGGAAGAAGGCCCUCGGGUUGUAAACUUCUUUUGUCAGGGAAGAGUAGAAGACGGUACCUGACGAAUAAGCCACGGCUAAUUACGUGCCAGCAGCCGCGGUAAUACGUAGGUGGCAAGCGUUGUCCGGAUUUACUGGGUGUAAAGGGCGUGUAGCCGGGUUGACAAGUCAGAUGUGAAAUCCUGCGGCUUAACCGCAGAACUGCAUGUGAAACUGUUGAUCUUGAGUACUGGAGAGGCAGACGGAAGUCCUAGUGUAGCGGUGAAAUGCGUAGAUAUUAGGAGGAACACCAGUGGCGAAGGCGGUCUGCUGGACAGCAACUGACGGUGAGGCGCGAAAGCGUGGGGAGCAAACAGGAUUAGAUACCCGGGUAGUC
RNAcentral lists this ribosomal RNA (442 nucleotides) under uncultured bacterium. RNAcentral describes it as "partial 16S ribosomal RNA". It matches the Rfam family "Bacterial small subunit ribosomal RNA", at positions 338 to 795 of the family's 1533-position model. The record is from RNAcentral.